RNAcentral lists this ribosomal RNA (255 nucleotides) under uncultured bacterium. RNAcentral describes it as "partial 16S ribosomal RNA". It matches the Rfam family "Bacterial small subunit ribosomal RNA", at positions 524 to 776 of the family's 1533-position model. The record is from RNAcentral.
UACGUAGGGGUGCGAGCGUUGUCCGGAAUUAUUGGGCGUAAAGGGCGCGCAGGCGGCCCUUGAAGUCAGGCGUGAAAGCCCCGGGCUCAACCUGGGAGGUGCGCUUGAUACUCGAGGGCUUGAGUGCGGGAGAGGAGAGUGGAAUUCCCAGUGUAGAGGUGAAAUUCGUAGAUAUUGGGAAGAACACCAGUGGCGAAGGCGACACACUGGCCCGUUACUGACGCGUGAGGCGCGAAAGCGUGGGGAGCAAACAGG